This 51-nucleotide non-coding RNA is filed under the name unclassified sequences. The record is from Rfam.
CCCUGACAGGCACAUGGUGUGUCUGACUAACCCAGACAGGAGAUCGACAUG